Long non-coding RNA from Ictalurus punctatus (channel catfish), 470 nucleotides. RefSeq lists it as uncharacterized. NCBI's taxonomy places the organism in Eukaryota, Metazoa, Chordata, Actinopteri, Siluriformes, Ictaluridae. The record is from RefSeq and is a predicted model, not a curated record. The transcript is spliced from 4 exons.
CCUGAGUUUCCUCCCCCAGUCCAAAGACAUGCAUGGUAGACCAUAGUGUAUGAGUACCCAUUCACAUGUUGGCAAUUAUUAUUAUUAUUAUUUAAAUUAAAUAGCAAUAGAAGAUCACAUGGCAAAGAUAAGACAGAAGACGAUAGAUGUUGCAGGGCAAGAUUGAAAUCUUCCACCAUUGUCAAAUUUGAUCAGUGCAGAAUUCACCAGACGUGUCGAUGGACCUGAGCAAGUCCUUUUAUGAGGGUCUUGACAAACAUGUCACAAAGCUGCUGUAUUUGUACCGCUCGAGGCACUAUGCAGACAUCGCAGAAAUGAGUGCCAUACUGGAGAGCCUGGAUAAAAAUGCAUCAAAUCAACAGAAGAGGGUUGCAGUACUGCUGGGGCUGCCAUUGUACAUGUGGGAGAAUCCAUCUCAGUUCUUACAGAUCUGUGAGCACACAGAUUCUGAAGAAGAUUUAAUCAAGGGC